This 498-nucleotide ribosomal RNA is filed under the name uncultured bacterium. RNAcentral describes it as "partial 16S ribosomal RNA". It matches the Rfam family "Bacterial small subunit ribosomal RNA", at positions 30 to 523 of the family's 1533-position model. The record is from RNAcentral.
AUUGAACGCUGGCGGCAUGCCUUACACAUGCAAGUCGAACGGUAACAGGUCUUCGGAUGCUGUCGAGUGGCGAACGGGUGAGUAAUACAUCGGAACGUGCCUAGUAGUGGGGGAUAACUACUCGAAAGAGUGGCUAAUACCGCAUGAGAUCUACGGAUGAAAGCAGGGGAUCGCAGGACCUUGUGCUACUAGAGCGGCCGAUGGCAGAUUAGGUAGUUGGUGGGAUAAAAGCUUACCAAGCCGACGAUCUGUAGCUGGUCUGAGAGGACGAUCAGCCACACUGGGACUGAGAAACGGCCCAGACUCCGACGGGAGGCAGCAGUGGGGAAUCUUGGACAAUGGGCGCAAGCCUGAUCCAGCAAUGCCGCGUGCAGGAUGAAGGCCUUCGGGUUGUAAACUGCUUUUGUACGGAACGAAAAGCCCCGGGUUAAUACCCUGGGGUCAUGACGGUACCGUAAGAAUAAGCACCGGCUAACUACGUGCCAGCCGCCGCCGUAA